CCAGACUCCUACGGGAGGCAGCAGUGGGGAAUAUUGGACAAUGGGGGGAACCCUGAUCCAGCGACGCCGCGUGAGUGAAGAAGUAUUUCGGUAUGUAAAGCUCUAUCAGCAGGGAAGAAAGAAAUGACGGUACCUGACUAAGAAGCCCCGGCUAACUACGUGCCAGCAGCCGCGGUAAUACGUAGGGGGCGAGCGUUAUCCGGAUUCACUGGGUGUAAAGGGAGCGUAGACGGCCAUGCAAGCCAGGGGUGAAAGCCCGGGGCCCAACCCCGGGACUGCCCUUGGAACUGCAUGGCUGGAGUGCGGGAGGGGCAGGCGGAAUUCCUGGUGUAGCGGUGAAAUGCGUAGAUAUCAGGAGGAACACCGGCGGCGAAGGCGGCCUGCUGGACCGCGACCGACGUUGAGGCUCGAAAGCGUGGGGAGCGAACAGGAUUAGAUACCCUCGUAAA
Molecule: ribosomal RNA, 449 nt
Filed under: uncultured bacterium
Lineage: Bacteria
Description: partial 16S ribosomal RNA
Rfam family: Bacterial small subunit ribosomal RNA
Source: RNAcentral